GACGAACGCUGGCGGCGUGCUUAACACAUGCAAGUCGAACGGAAAGGCCCUGCUUUUGUGGGGUGCUCGAGUGGCGAACGGGUGAGUAACACGUGAGUAACCUGCCCUUGACUUUGGGAUAACUUCAGGAAACUGGGGCUAAUACCGGAUAGGAGCUCCUGCUGCAUGGUGGGGGUUGGAAAGUUUCGGCGGUUGGGGAUGGACUCGCGGCUUAUCAGCUUGUUGGUGGGGUAGUGGCUUACCAAGGCUUUGACGGGUAGCCGGCCUGAGAGGGUGACCGGCCACAUUGGGACUGAGAUACGGCCCAGACUCCUACGGGAGGCAGCAGUGGGGAAUAUUGCACAAUGGGCGGAAGCCUGAUGCAGCAACGCCGCAUGCGGGAUGACGGCCUUCGGGUUGUAAACCGCUUUCGCCUGUGACGAAGCGUGGGUGACGGUAAUGGGUAAAGAAGCACCGGCUAACUACGUG
This 468-nucleotide ribosomal RNA is filed under the name uncultured bacterium. RNAcentral describes it as "partial 16S ribosomal RNA". It matches the Rfam family "Bacterial small subunit ribosomal RNA", at positions 28 to 507 of the family's 1533-position model. The record is from RNAcentral.